This 253-nucleotide ribosomal RNA is filed under the name uncultured bacterium. Its description in RNAcentral is "partial 16S ribosomal RNA". It matches the Rfam family "Bacterial small subunit ribosomal RNA", at positions 524 to 776 of the family's 1533-position model. The record is from RNAcentral.
UACGUAGGGGGCAAGCGUUGUCCGGAUUUAUUGGGCGUAAAGAGCGUGUAGGCGGCUUUACAGGUCCGCUGUGAAAACUUGAGGCUCAACCUCAAGCUGUCGGUGGAAACCACAUGGCUAGAGUCCGGAAGAGGAGAGUGGAAUUCCUGGUGUAGCGGUGAAAUGCGCAGAUAUCAGGAAGAACACCAAUGGCGAAGGCAGCUCUCUGGGACGGUACUGACACUGAGACGCGAAAGCGUGGGGAGCGAACAGG